GCGGCCAGCUGGCACCGCCCCGUCGGGCGGCCAGCGCAUCCCUGAGGCCGCACCGCGCGGGUGGCCCGGGCGGCGACGACGGGGGCGGGGGGGCGCGGCGGCCUCCCGGAUGCUUGCGGCAGAAGGCGCUGGUGUACCCCUAUCAUGGGCAGCAACCCCUUGGGAAGAGCUGAAGACCAGCCAGGGGAGAGGGAAAAAAAAAAAGCACAGAACACAUGCUGGUUCCAGAUUCCUGGCAAGAAUCAGAGCGCCUGUGCUGUGCUGAAAGCCGGCCCAAGCACAGAGCAGCAGAGGCCACUUGGAGCAGCUGCUGUCGACUUCCGCCUCGCUGGACAGCAUCCCUUCAGAUCCAUCUUUUCAAGAAACUGUGGCCAGGACACUGCUGAUCUGCUUGCUGUCAUCUCUCGUGUGGUUCUUGGGUGUCUCUUCAGAACAUGCUCCGAGGCUCCUCUUACGUUUCCCUGCAAAGAACCCUUGUAAGGGGGCUGCCUACACAUGGCCUGCAUCUCUCGUUUCUACCACUGAGUUAGAGACACCUCCUUGCUCAUUUGGCAACAGCAGCAGCAGAAGUUGGAAUCUGUGCCACCUGGGACGUACCUGAGCCGGAGCCGAAGCAUGUGGUACUCUCAGUACGGGAACGAGGCCAUCCUUGUCCGGGACAGAAACAAGCUGGAGGUCUCCCGGGACACGGGCCAGUCCAAGUUUUGCUCUGUUAUGUAACUUCUGGUGUGAAAAGCGAGCCCAGGCGCCGCCCUGUCUCCACCUCCAGCCCUUGCCCGGAGGUCCUGGCUGUGAACGUGAAGGCUGAGCUGCAGCGGAAGGACCCCAGGAUGCCAGGGAUGGCGCCCCAGCCCAUUUGCAGUCGGGGUGACUGGUGGACUUGGCUUCUGGCCUCCAUUUUGAGCUUCCGGGCGCUGCGGGCACAGCCCAGGCUGGGGCACGACGGGAUGCCACUCUGCUUAUGCUUCCAAAUAAAGCAAGCAAGAGGGACGUCCA
This 996-nucleotide long non-coding RNA is filed under the name Sus scrofa (pig). RNAcentral's name for it is "lncRNA (ENSSSCG00025034452.1)". The record is from RNAcentral. Lineage: Eukaryota; Metazoa; Chordata; Mammalia; Artiodactyla; Suidae.